RNAcentral lists this ribosomal RNA (253 nucleotides) under uncultured bacterium. RNAcentral describes it as "partial 16S ribosomal RNA". It matches the Rfam family "Bacterial small subunit ribosomal RNA", at positions 524 to 776 of the family's 1533-position model. The record is from RNAcentral.
UACGUAGGGUGCGAGCGUUAAUCGGAAUUACUGGGCGUAAAGGGAGCGUAGGCGGCAAUUCAAGUCAGUUGUGAAAUCUCCGAGCUUAACUCGGAACGGUCAACUGAUACUGUUUUGCUAGAGUACAGAAGGGGCAAUCGGAAUUCUUGGUGUAGCGGUGAAAUGCGUAGAUAUCAAGAGGAACACCUGAGGUGAAGACGGGUUGCUGGGCUGAUACUGACGCUGAGGCUCGAAAGCUAGGGUAGCAAACGGG